Molecule: non-coding RNA, 321 nt
Filed under: Loxodonta africana (African savanna elephant)
Lineage: Eukaryota; Metazoa; Chordata; Mammalia; Proboscidea; Elephantidae
Description: Eukaryotic small subunit ribosomal RNA
Rfam family: Eukaryotic small subunit ribosomal RNA
Source: Rfam by way of RNAcentral
AUUUGAACUUCUAGCCUACUUUACUGUGAGGAAAUAAAUUUCUCUUUGUUAAAGUCAUCCACUUGUGGUACUUCUGUUAUAGAAGCACUAGAUAACUAAUAUAGGUGAGCUCCCCUCUGCCAGGGGGCUGGUGCCCGUGGCUUAGGUGACUCCAGACAACCUCAGGUCGAUUGCAAGACUGCUAUGACCCAUUUGAACGUCUGCCCUAUCAACUUUCAAUGGUAGUUUACAUGCGUACCAUGGUGACCAAGGGUGAUGAGGAAUCAGGGUUUGACUCCAGAGAGCAAGUCUGAGAAAAGGCUACCAUAUCCAAGGAAGGCA